GACGAACGCUGGCGGCGUGCUUAACACAUGCAAGUCGAACGGAAAGGCCCUGCUUUUGUGGGGUGCUCGAGUGGCGAACGGGUGAGUAACACGUGAGUAACCUGCCCUUGACUUUGGGAUAACUUCAGGAAACUGGGGCUAAUACCGGAUAGGAGCUCCUGCUGCAUGGUGGGGGUUGGAAAGUUUCGGCGGUUGGGGAUGGACUCGCGGUUUAUCAGCUUGUUGGUGGGGUAGUGGCUUACCAAGGCUUUGACGGGUAGCCGGCCUGGGAGGGUGACCGGCCACAUUGGGACUGAGGUACGGCCCAGACUCCUACGGGAGGCAGCAGUGGGAAUAUUGCACAAUGGGCGGAAGCCUGAUGCAGCAACGCCGCGUGCGGGAUGACGGCCUUCGGGUUGUAAACCGCUUUCGCCUGUGACGAAGCGUGAGUGACGGUAAUGGGUAAAGAAGCACCGGCUAACUACGUG
Molecule: ribosomal RNA, 467 nt
Filed under: uncultured bacterium
Lineage: Bacteria
Description: partial 16S ribosomal RNA
Rfam family: Bacterial small subunit ribosomal RNA
Source: RNAcentral